CCAGGGAGCACGCCAUCUCUCAACAGCUCCUCAACUUCUCCUGGGGACCAGAUGACAGGCCAAGCCCAAAAUCGAAGUGCUAGUUGGGGUGUGGCAGCUGCCGUGGUGCUCCUCAUUGCCUUGGCUGUUAUCUUCCUCGUGUUCUACUGCCUCGGGGUCUGGAGACGAGCCCUACACCCGUGGCUGCUGGUGGACCUGAAAGGUUGCCUGGUGCUAUUGGACCGGAAAACCUCACUGCUCUGAGGAGGCCCCUCAGGCUGCCUCGCAACAUUGCUCUGGCCACACCGGGGAUGCAGGAUAUGGUGGCGAUGUGGACCAUGCCAGUGCCCAGGCUUGUUGCAUCUAAGCACCCGCAGAUAUGACGCUGGAGCGUACACAGUCUCUCUCUAUGCCUUGGAUCAUGGGAAAGGUUCCUGGGCAAGCAGCAAAGACUGACCCCCCCCCACCCACAUGCGGGUGACCCUGCACUUAGACACUCCUAAUUUCUGCUGGACUCCC
Long non-coding RNA from Suncus etruscus (white-toothed pygmy shrew), 498 nucleotides. RefSeq lists it as uncharacterized. Lineage: Eukaryota; Metazoa; Chordata; Mammalia; Eulipotyphla; Soricidae. The record is from RefSeq and is a predicted model, not a curated record. The transcript has 2 exons.